UACGAAGGGGGCUAGCGUUGCUCGGAAUCACUGGGCGUAAAGCGCACGUAGGCGGAUCUUUAAGUCAGGGGUGAAAUCCCAAGGCUCAACCUUGGAACUGCCUUUGAUACUGGGGAUCUCGAGUCCGGAAGAGGUGAGUGGAACUGCGAAUGUAGAGGUGAAAUUCGUAGAUAUUCGCAAGAACACCAGUGGCGAAGGCGGCUCACUGGUCCGGUACUGACGCUGAGGUGCGAAAGCGUGGGGAGCAAACGGG
RNAcentral lists this ribosomal RNA (253 nucleotides) under uncultured bacterium. RNAcentral describes it as "partial 16S ribosomal RNA". It matches the Rfam family "Bacterial small subunit ribosomal RNA", at positions 524 to 776 of the family's 1533-position model. The record is from RNAcentral.